CUUUCCAGAUGAGCAGCGGCAUCUCCAGUGACGCAGGGCCGCUCCUGGGCUUCCACUCAGCCGGGCGGCGCUGGGAGGGGCAGAUGCCAGGGGGCUCUGGAGCGCCAGCUGCCGACCCGGUCUGAGCUCGAAGGCGACCCGCCCGGGCGGCCGCAGGGCCCGGGGCGGCCUCGGGGUGGCUGGCGCCUUCCGGGGGCGUUCCUGGGGGCCGGGGGCUGGCGGGGUUAGACCCAACGCGCCCGGGAGGAGCCGGCCGGCAGCCACGUGACCGACCGCGGCGGGGCCGGCGGCCCAGAAAUAGCAGCGGCGGCGGUUCCGCCCGCGGGUGGCGCGAGCGGCGGGCGAGACGGGAGGACGCGGCUGGGCGCGGGCGCGGCGCGGCCCCGGCCCCGGAGGAUGCUGCUGAGCCCCGGCCCGGCCCGGCCCCGAGCUCAUGAUGGCGAUACGGGAGCUCAAAGUGUGUCUCCUCGGGGACACUGGGGUUGGGAAAUCAAGCAUCGUGUGUCGAUUUGUCCAGGAUCACUUUGACCACAACAUCAGCCCUACCAUUGGGGCGUCUUUUAUGACCAAAACUGUGCCUUGUGGAAAUGAACUUCACAAGUUCCUCAUCUGGGACACUGCUGGUCAGGAACGGUUCCAUUCACUGGCUCCCAUGUACUACCGAGGGUCUGCUGCGGCUGUCAUUGUAUAUGAUAUUACCAAACAGGAUUCAUUUCAUACUUUGAAGAAAUGGGUCAAAGAACUGAAAGAACAUGGUCCAGAAAACAUUGUAAUGGCUAUUGCUGGAAACAAAUGUGAUCUCUCAGAUAUUAGGGAGGUUCCCCUGAAGGAUGCUAAGGAAUAUGCUGAAUCUAUAGGUGCCAUCGUGGUGGAAACAAGUGCAAAAAAUGCUAUUAAUAUCGAAGAGCUCUUUCAAGGAAUCACUAAUUAAUGAAGGUGACAGCUCCGUUCUUUGUCCCCAGUUCCUGGGUUAUGUUAUGCUUCACGUUCUCCUAUGCUGGUUGCCAUGAGUGACAUUAUCAGAGCUGUCUCCCAGCGGAUGGCCUCGCUGACACAUUUGUCUGCAGCUGUGAGGCUUCGAACGCACCAGAUUUCACCUUCAUAAAUUCUCUGGCUGUGUCGUUUUGUUCUGGGUCAUUCUGUCCUGGGUCCCACUAGAGAAGUACCUGCUGACAGCUGUCCUGGGAAACUGCUCUGUGCCCUCAGGAAAGUGCACUCAGCCAUAACCCGGGAUGCUGGGAGAAGUUCGGUGAAAUGCUGGGUAUCCACCUUCGGAAAAGUUGAUCAGUUAGCAGUCGUCCUCAAAUAUCUUGGCCCUGGACAAUUCCAGAAGGGAAGCUGAUGGUUUGGUUUCUCUUGUGCCUGAGAUCAUUGUUGGCGGAGCUCUCAAAGUCAGUCGGCGUGGCUUCCCAGAACAGAUCUGAUUUCCGUGGAACUGGUUUGGGUCCAUUACUUCAGACUCUGAGAACCCACAGCAGGGUUCUUUUGUUUGCUUACGUUGGCUGACAGGAGAGCGACUUGUGCUGUGCAGAGAUGUGCAAAAGAAACUGCAGGCCGCCGGAUCCCACCCCUGGACCCCCAUGAAAAUGGAAACAAUGGAGCCAUCAAACUUGGGAAGCCCAGCACGCC
Molecule: RNA transcript, 1629 nt
Organism: Cynocephalus volans (Philippine flying lemur)
Lineage: Eukaryota; Metazoa; Chordata; Mammalia; Dermoptera; Cynocephalidae
Gene: RAB31
Gene name: RAB31, member RAS oncogene family
Exons: 8
Source: RefSeq, a predicted model, not a curated record